Ciona intestinalis (vase tunicate) is the source of this 388-nucleotide non-coding RNA. NCBI's taxonomy places the organism in Eukaryota, Metazoa, Chordata, Ascidiacea, Phlebobranchia, Cionidae. The record is from RefSeq and is a predicted model, not a curated record.
AGUGCAGUAGAUUCACUUACAGAGAGUGAAUUUUAUACAGACAAUCCAAAACUACAAAUGUACUUUAAUAAUGCCUGGUGGCCACAAAAAGAGGUCAUUUAUUUUUCUAGCUGUAUUAAAAACAUUGCAUGUUUGAUUAAGUACUAUUUUAUCUGUGGGCUAAUAAUCUAAUAUUUAUUAUUUCCUUACAUUUUAAAAAUAUUUCAAACACACUCACAGAGAUGGGUUUCACUUUACCGAUUGGGGAAAAUGCGUGUGCCAAUUGGUACGAACAACGGGGUUGAGAGACAAAACAAAAUGCUCAAGGAAUGUCAUUUAAAGUUUCAAGUUGACAAAUCUUUAUCUGGCUUGUUAAAAGUGCUUCAUCAUGACUUUUUCCUCAGCCAUU